UUGGUAGCCCUAGGGACAGAAGUCUUCUCUUUAUUUGCAAAACGGCACUGCAGGCUUCCCUCAUGCCAUCUCACCUUUGUGCUUCCAUGUGGACUGGGAUGAUCCUGUCUGCUGGACGAAGGAAGAGUUCAGUCUCUAUGGCCCAUUCAGACCUUGGCCUCU
This is an unclassified non-coding RNA of Chelonoidis abingdonii (Abingdon island giant tortoise), 162 nucleotides long. The record is from Ensembl. NCBI's taxonomy places the organism in Eukaryota, Metazoa, Chordata, Testudines, Testudinidae.